RNAcentral lists this unclassified non-coding RNA (404 nucleotides) under soil metagenome. Its description in RNAcentral is "partial contains 5.8S ribosomal RNA, internal transcribed spacer 2, and large subunit ribosomal RNA". The stretch from base 1 to 120 matches the Rfam family "5.8S ribosomal RNA", at positions 35 to 154 of the family's 154-position model. The record is from RNAcentral.
GAUGAAGAACGCAGCGAAAUGCGAUAAGUAAUGUGAAUUGCAGAAUUCAGUGAAUCAUCGAAUCUUUGAACGCACAUUGCGCCCGCUGGUAUUCCAGCGGGCAUGCCCGUUCGAGCGUCAUUUUAAUCCCUUCCCGGGGGACUCUUCUAUUCUGUAGUGGAGUGUCUACGGGGUGUUGGCAUUGGACGCCUUAUUUUUAGGCGACCGGAGCCGAAAUGAAGUGGCGGACUCGCAGCGGCCCCUAGCGUAGUAGAAACAACCCUUCUCGCUUAGGAGAGCCGUAGCGGUGGACCACAGCCCUACAUGCUUUUUUUUUUUUAAAAAAAAAAAGCUAUAUCUAAAAAACUUGACCUCGGAUCGGGUAGGACUACCCGCUGAACUUAAGCAUAUCAAUAAGCGGAGGA